UACGGAGGGAGCUAGCGUUGUUCGGAAUUACUGGGCGUAAAGCGCGCGUAGGCGGCAAUGUAAGUUAGAGGUGAAAGCCCGGGGCUCAACCCCGGAACAGCCUUUAAGACUGCAUCGCUAGAAUCCGGGAGAGGUGAGUGGAAUUCCGAGUGUAGAGGUGAAAUUCGUAGAUAUUCGCAAGAACACCAGUGGCGAAGGCGGCUCACUGGUCCGGUUCUGACGCUGAGGCGCGAAAGCGUGGGGAGCAAACAGG
Molecule: ribosomal RNA, 253 nt
Filed under: uncultured bacterium
Lineage: Bacteria
Description: partial 16S ribosomal RNA
Rfam family: Bacterial small subunit ribosomal RNA
Source: RNAcentral